Molecule: long non-coding RNA, 1069 nt
Filed under: Fukomys damarensis (Damara mole-rat)
Lineage: Eukaryota; Metazoa; Chordata; Mammalia; Rodentia; Bathyergidae
Description: lncRNA (ENSFDAG00000032545.1)
Source: RNAcentral
UGCGGAGAGGAUCAAAUUGCGGAGAGUCUGCUUCUCCCAGGCCGCGAAGCCAGGUCCUUUAACAGCCCCUCCUGGGAGCUCAGGCCAUAAACGCUUGCUGCUUCUGGGUUUUCGUCUCUUGAUUUCCUUAUGACCAAAUUUUGCUAGUUUCCACCUUCGGGCUCAGCCUGAAGUGCCAGCCUGCAGUUGGGGGCCUGAGAGGUGCUCACAAAGGACGCUGCACAAGAAAGGAUGAUGGAAUCAGCUCCUGGAGGAGUGGCCAGCUUCAGUGACAGCGUCUGGGCCAGUGUGGUCCAGACACACCGGACCUCCUGCAUCACGGCAUGCACUAUUCCAUCCUCCUAGGACAGUGGGUUACCUUCAGGUGGCACCGACUCAUCCUCCAAGACUUCGCUUAGGUAGCGCCCCAGGUCAGCACCUUCAAAACGUGGUUACAAAAGAAUGUUUACUGACAAGACAUAAAAGAAGUUAUAAACAUAACUCUUAGCAAAAGCUCUGGGAAUUGACCAUAUCACAACCUGAAAAGGCAACAAAUACUUAAGAGGAUUUGAUCACUUUAACUAAUCUUUAUCCUAAACCAGUUUUUCAAUCAAAUUUUAAACUGUGUCAAACUGAGUUGUUCUACUCCAAGAAAAAUCAAUUUGUGUAACUGCUAAAACAUUUAAUGUAUCAUUUCACUCUACAAGUUUCUUCUUGACAUGGGUAUAAAAAAGAACCUUUAAUAAAUUUCACCUUUUUGAAUGACCAACCACAUACACAUAAUAAAUACUUGUUAACCUUUCAAGUAGAAAAAACAGAUCUUUGUUCUAUGGCUGAAAUCUCCUGCUUCAUAGGAGUAUUGAUAAUUUUAACUCUCAAGGAACAAGCUGCUUGCUGUCCCUAAUUUUAUUAGAUUUUAAAAUAAAAUAUAUAUACGGCAAUAAUCUAAAAAGUACAAAAAUCUCACUUGCCUCUGUAAUUUUUGUGUCUGAAAUGUAUACUUUCAAACAGAAAGAUGUUUUGUUUCUCUUUUAACAAAAGAAAAAUCUCAGCUCAUGUGUGUUGGAUUUUUUUUUUUUUUUUUUUUUUU